This is a long non-coding RNA of Equus asinus (donkey), 2182 nucleotides long. Lineage: Eukaryota; Metazoa; Chordata; Mammalia; Perissodactyla; Equidae. The record is from Ensembl.
UGGGAAAUCCCCUCCUCCCACCAGUUCCUCUUUAAAUCGAGCCUCUAUCCCUCUUGCACAGGAUGUCUGACUUAGGAAAGAACCCUACACUCACCCUGGCACCCCCACCAGGUUACUGGGGAGAGCACGGCACAGUCAUAACCUUUGACGGGGAAAUCACCCUCCGCUGUGCCGGCACCUGACAGUGUCACUGCUCUCAUCAACCCUGAGACUGGUACUACCAAUCACAUUCUGAGAUGGGGAAAUGGAGGGUCCCAGAUAAAGCAUUCCUAACCCUCAGUCAAAGCCAGUAAGCGGCUAGGCUGGGUCUCGAACCCUUGUUUUCCUGACUCUAGCGCCCUCUCUUUCUGUUUGUCCACGCCAGGCUCUCCUACCCGGCAGGUAAACCACCUGAAGCUUCGGACCGGCUGGGUCACCUCGGGAAAGUAACUUAACCUCUCUGAACGCCCCCAAGGUCAGAAAGCUUUGCUUUCGGGGGAGAAAGCGGUAUGCAAACAAGACGCAUACGAAACACACACCGCGGGCGCCGGCGCAGUCCUUUCCCGGAGCCUGGGGCUUUCUAACGGGGAACGCGCGCCCCCAGCCCCCGAGACCGGCGAAACCAAGCGCCGAGCCGGCUAGCAGAAGCGAAACCUCAACACUCUUCAGCCUCCCCCGCUCGGUUCCGGGAACCGGCGAGCCAGGCUUCGUGGAAGCGCGCCCGGCAGCCGCGGGCCUCGGGACCGCCCCGACCACAGCCCGCAGUCCCGGGCCGGGAGUCCCUUAGGCGCGGGACGCGUGAGACGGGCGAGGAUGCCGGAGGCGGGAAGCGAGAGCGGGAAUGCCCAGCCCUGGCAAGCUGAGAGGGGCGGAGAGAGGACCAGCAGAGAUUGAGCGCCUACUGUGUGCCUUAGCGCUUGACAACAGGACUUUCGUUAGAUCUUCACUACAGCCCUUGCCAGAGGGAGUUAAUGCCCCAUUUAAGAGGGAUAAACUGAGCCUCUGAGAGGUGAAGUCACUCGCCGAAAACUGCACAGCCAGGCUCAGCGUGACACCCCAAAUCAGGGCUCAGUUACGCCAAGAAGAGCACGAUGAGCUUGAACCACUGGUUUGCCGAGUCCUGUUCUUGCUCUUUUUGUGUAGACAGACACAUAGUAGGUGCUCAGGAAGAUACUGGAAGAUGGAAAAUGAGCUUGACAGCUCAGCCCCGGAGUACGCGCCGCGAAUCCAGCCCAGCCCGCGGGGCACCGGGUUUCCCCAGACCUCAGAAGGGAACUUUUGCGAUGGGCGGACAUCUCAGUUCGACACAGGCAUUCGACAAACACGUGGUGGCGGAGCCCCAGCCCUAGCGGAGGACAGACCGGAUUCAAAUCCCAGCUCUACCGCUAUCAGGCUGUGUGACUUUGGGCAAGUCACGUCAUCUACCGAACCUCGGUUGUACCGCCUACAAAAUGGGGAUAUUAACAUCCACUUCCAAAGGGUUGUGGGGAGGAUUAAACGAAACAAUGUUUCUAACACACUUACUAAACGCACAAGUAUCGUCGCGCGUUCAUCCCGCAACCUUCAGGCGGUGCACCCGUUCGGGAUGAGGACCCGAGACUAAGGCUCCUCGGCCCCAGUUCCCAAGUCGGCCACCCCUGGACGCACGGACCGACGGGCCUUCCAGUCACCCUCGUCCGGCGAAACCCGAAAUUUCGGGCACUUCGGCCGCGGUUGGUCCCGAAAGCAAAUAUUCAAAUAUUCCGAAACUGGCGCAUGGCUAGGGCUGACAUUUUUGCGUUUAAUUUUCUUGAAGUUUUAUUCUUGUCUGUAAAGGUAAUUCGUUAGACCCUCCUAAGUGAGACUUCUCGUCUUUGUCUUGUUUAACUUUUCGUAAGAGCGAAGUUCACAAAGCAGACCAAGAAUCCGGGCGCGUGGCGGUCCUUGUGGGGAUCCGGGUCCGCAGACCGGCCCCCGGCGAACCCCUGGCUCUCGGCGCCCUCCCCCGGGCAUGGCAGUGGCAGAGACAGGCCGCCCCCGACCCCGGCCCGUUUAGAUGGAGCCUCUUCGUCCUGACAGCCCUCUGGGAUUCCCGUGUCCCUGCAGGAACGAGGGGAGGUGGGGGCUGCAGCCCAGAAUUUAGCAUCCCCGACCUCCCCAAACUCCAGCCUUGCUGGGAUUAAGGGAGCAAAUCCCUGAUGCCACAGACCAGGUCAAGGACAAG